This 1411-nucleotide ribosomal RNA is filed under the name Escherichia coli. Its description in RNAcentral is "partial 23S ribosomal RNA". It matches the Rfam family "Bacterial large subunit ribosomal RNA", at positions 826 to 2217 of the family's 2925-position model. Lineage: Bacteria; Pseudomonadati; Pseudomonadota; Gammaproteobacteria; Enterobacterales; Enterobacteriaceae. The record is from RNAcentral.
AGGCCAAUCAAACCGGGAGAUAGCUGGUUCUCCCCGAAAGCUAUUUAGGUAGCGCCUCGUGAAUUCAUCUCCGGGGGUAGAGCACUGUUUCGGCAAGGGGGUCAUCCCGACUUACCAACCCGAUGCAAACUGCGAAUACCGGAGAAUGUUAUCACGGGAGACACACGGCGGGUGCUAACGUCCGUCGUGAAGAGGGAAACAACCCAGACCGCCAGCUAAGGUCCCAAAGUCAUGGUUAAGUGGGAAACGAUGUGGGAAGGCCCAGACAGCCAGGAUGUUGGCUUAGAAGCAGCCAUCAUUUAAAGAAAGCGUAAUAGCUCACUGGUCGAGUCGGCCUGCGCGGAAGAUGUAACGGGGCUAAACCAUGCACCGAAGCUGCGGCAGCGACGCUUAUGCGUUGUUGGGUAGGGGAGCGUUCUGUAAGCCUGUGAAGGUGUACUGUGAGGUAUGCUGGAGGUAUCAGAAGUGCGAAUGCUGACAUAAGUAACGAUAAAGCGGGUGAAAAGCCCGCUCGCCGGAAGACCAAGGGUUCCUGUCCAACGUUAAUCGGGGCAGGGUGAGUCGACCCCUAAGGCGAGGCCGAAAGGCGUAGUCGAUGGGAAACAGGUUAAUAUUCCUGUACUUGGUGUUACUGCGAAGGGGGGACGGAGAAGGCUAUGUUGGCCGGGCGACGGUUGUCCCGGUUUAAGCGUGUAGGCUGGUUUUCCAGGCAAAUCCGGAAAAUCAAGGCUGAGGCGUGAUGACGAGGCACUACGGUGCUGAAGCAACAAAUGCCCUGCUUCCAGGAAAAGCCUCUAAGCAUCAGGUAACAUCAAAUCGUACCCCAAACCGACACAGGUGGUCAGGUAGAGAAUACCAAGGCGCUUGAGAGAACUCGGGUGAAGGAACUAGGCAAAAUGGUGCCGUAACUUCGGGAGAAGGCACGCUGAUAUGUAGGUGAAGUCCCUCGCGGAUGGAGCUGAAAUCAGUCGAAGAUACCAGCUGGCUGCAACUGUUUAUUAAAAACACAGCACUGUGCAAACACGAAAGUGGACGUAUACGGUGUGACGCCUGCCCGGUGCCGGAAGGUUAAUUGAUGGGGUUAGCGGUAACGCGAAGCUCUUGAUCGAAGCCCCGGUAAACGGCGGCCGUAACUAUAACGGUCCUAAGGUAGCGAAAUUCCUUGUCGGGUAAGUUCCGACCUGCACGAAUGGCGUAAUGAUGGCCAGGCUGUCUCCACCCGAGACUCAGUGAAAUUGAACUCGCUGUGAAGAUGCAGUGUACCCGCGGCAAGACGGAAAGACCCCGUGAACCUUUACUAUAGCUUGACACUGAACAUUGAGCCUUGAUGUGUAGGAUAGGUGGGAGGCUUUGAAGUGUGGACGCCAGUCUGCAUGGAGCCGGCCUUGAAAUACCACCCUUUAAUGUUUGA